CUGCGAGUGAAGCGGGAAAGCUCAAAUUUAAAAUCUGGUGGUCUUUGGCCAUCCGAGUUGUAAUCUAGAGAAGUGUUACCCGCGUCGGACCGUGUACAAGUCUCCUGGAAUGGAGCGUCAUAGAGGGUGAGAAUCCCGUCUUUGACACGGACUACCGAGGCUUUGUGGUGCGCUCUCAACGAGUCGAGUUGUUUGGGAAUGCAGCUCAAAAUGGGUGGUAAAUUCCAUCUAAAGCUAAAUAUUGGCGAGAGACCGAUAGCGAACAAGUACCGUGAGGGAAAGAUGAAAAGAACUUUGGAAAGAGAGUUAAACAGUACGUGAAAUUGCUGAAAGGGAAACGCUUGAAGUCAGUCGCGUUGGCCGGAAAUCAGCCUUGCUUUUGCUGGGUGUACUUUCUGGUUGACGGGCCAGCAUCAGUUUUGACCGGUGGAAAAAGUUCAAGGGAAUGUGGCAUCUUCGGAUGUGUUAUAGCCCUUGUUCGUAUACAUCGGUUGGGACUGAGGAACUCAGCACGCCGAAAGGCCGGGUC
RNAcentral lists this ribosomal RNA (529 nucleotides) under Psathyrella sp. Its description in RNAcentral is "partial large subunit ribosomal RNA". It matches the Rfam family "Eukaryotic large subunit ribosomal RNA", at positions 87 to 617 of the family's 3401-position model. The record is from RNAcentral. Lineage: Eukaryota; Fungi; Basidiomycota; Agaricomycetes; Agaricales; Psathyrellaceae.